AACGAACGCUGGCGGCAUGCCUAACACAUGCAAGUCGAACGAGACCUUCGGGCCUAGUGGCGCACGGGUGCGUAACGCGGGGGAACCUGCCCUUAGGUUCGGAAUAACUCCCCGAAAGGGGUGCUAAUACCGGAUAAUGUCUUCGGACCAAAGAUUUAUCGCCUUUGGAUGGGCCCGCGUUGGAUUAGCUAGUUGGUAGGGUAAAAGCCUUCCAAGGCGACGAUCCAUAGCUGGUCUGAGAGGAUGAUCAGCCACACUGGGACUGAGACACGGCCCAGACUCCUACGGGAGGCAGCAGUGGGGAAUAUUGGACAAUGGGCGAAAGCCUGAUCCAGCAAUGCCGCGUGAGUGAUGAAGGCCUUAGGGUUGUAAAGCUCUUUUACCCGGGAUGAUAAUGACAGUACCGGGAGAAUAAGCUCCGGCUAACUCCGUG
This 433-nucleotide ribosomal RNA is filed under the name uncultured bacterium. RNAcentral's name for it is "partial 16S ribosomal RNA". It matches the Rfam family "Bacterial small subunit ribosomal RNA", at positions 29 to 507 of the family's 1533-position model. The record is from RNAcentral.